This 72-nucleotide transfer RNA is filed under the name Stegodyphus mimosarum. It matches the Rfam family "tRNA". From Rfam's summary of the family: Transfer RNA (tRNA) molecules are approximately 80 nucleotides in length. Their secondary structure includes four short double-helical elements and three loops (D, anti-codon, and T loops). Lineage: Eukaryota; Metazoa; Arthropoda; Arachnida; Araneae; Eresidae. The record is from Rfam by way of RNAcentral.
GCCUGCAUAGUGUAACAGUUAGCACAUUCGACGUGUAUUCGAGAGAUCCAGGUUCGAGUCCCGGCGAAGGCA